RNAcentral lists this ribosomal RNA (1017 nucleotides) under Triticum aestivum (bread wheat). RNAcentral's name for it is "partial small subunit ribosomal RNA". Lineage: Eukaryota; Viridiplantae; Streptophyta; Magnoliopsida; Poales; Poaceae. The record is from RNAcentral.
AUGGCUCGGGCACUGGUAGGCUGGUGCUUCUUUCUGGUGGCGGCAUUUGCGGUAGGCGUCGUGGGCCAGCAUCCUCCCUACACCCCUCCUCCUUCCCACCACACCCCGCCUCCCCAGUCCCAGGUCCCCUCCUACGCCAACGGCCAACCCUACCGUGUCAACUACAACAAACCCAACCGCAUCUUCACCUGCGAAGACGACUGGGGCGAUACAUGCAUCGCGCAAUGCCCGGACCUCUGUCCCAAGUCCUGCUCCAUGUCAUGCAGCUACUGCGAGACCACAUGCAGUACAUCGAGGUGUGUGGAGUUUCCAGGCACUUCGUGUGGCGACCCUAGCUUCACCGGUGGCGACGGUGUCACCUACUACUUCCAUGGCAGGAAGGAUCAGGAUUUCUGCAUCGUCUCCGACGUCGAUCUCCACAUCAACGCACACUUUAUCGGCAACCACAACCCCGUCAAUGAGAGGAACUUCACAUGGAUACAGGCCAUCAGUGUCACCUUCGGCGACCACCGCCUCUUUGUAGGCGCUCGCAAGGCUGUCGAGUGGGAGGAGGAUGAGGACCACAUUGAGAUAACCUUCAAUGGGGAGCCCAUCAAUAUAGACACCGCCAACAAUGCCCAGUGGGUGUCCAAGGUCCAAUCCGGUCUAUCCGUGCAACGCACAGACAUUGUCAACUCCAUCAAGGUGGAUUUCGCCAAUGUGUUCAGCAUCUCGGCCAACGUCGUGCCGAUCACGGACGAGGACUCUAAGAUCCACAACUACGGCAAGACCGCGAAGGACAAUCUCGUGCACCUUGACCUUCGCUUCAAGUUUCAUUCCCUCACCGACGUUGUCGAUGGCGUGCUCGGCCAAACCUACCGGUCUAACUACGUCAAUAAGAUGAAUGUCACAGCCAAGAUGCCCAUCAUGGGUGGCACGCCAAAGUACUUCUCAUCGGGCCUCUUCUCGACGGAUUGUGCGGUCUCCAAGUUUCAGCACAAUGGUGGCGCAAGCCAUGUUCGUGCCAUGGCUGCAUAA